This 100-nucleotide ribosomal RNA is filed under the name Cohnella fermenti. Its description in RNAcentral is "Cohnella sp. CC-MHH1044 partial 23S ribosomal RNA". It matches the Rfam family "Bacterial large subunit ribosomal RNA", at positions 2826 to 2925 of the family's 2925-position model. Lineage: Bacteria; Bacillati; Bacillota; Bacilli; Caryophanales; Paenibacillaceae. The record is from RNAcentral.
ACGUAAGACCCCUGGAAGAACACCAGGUAGAUAGGCUCGGGGUGGAAGCGCGGCAACGUGUGGAGCUGACGAGUACUAAUCGGUCGAGGGCUUAUCCUAA